Bradysia coprophila is the source of this 137-nucleotide long non-coding RNA. The record is from RefSeq and is a predicted model, not a curated record. NCBI's taxonomy places the organism in Eukaryota, Metazoa, Arthropoda, Insecta, Diptera, Sciaridae.
GUAUUUUCAAUCUAUUACGAACGGCAAGCACAUGACCAGAAUUAUUAGCUGGUCUAUUACUUCCAUCGCUCAAAGAAUUUUUAAUCCGUUGAUUUCAAAUCUGGUACUUCAAUUUUUUUAACAUGCAUUUUACUAUA